UGGGGAAUAUUGGACAAUGGGCGCAAGCCUGAUCCAGCAAUGCCGCGUGAGUGAGGAAGGCCUUAGGGUUGUAAAGCUCUUUCACCCACGACGAUGAUGACGGUAGUGGGAGAAGAAGCCCCGGCUAACUUCGUGCCAGCAGCCGCGGUAAUACGAAGGGGCGAGCGUUGUUCGGAUUUACUGGGCGUAAAGGGGCGCGCAGGCGGCAGACCAAGUCAGGCGUGAAAGCCCCGGGCUCAACCUGGGAACUGCGUUUGGGACUGGUUUGCUAGAGAUCGGGAGAGGAGAGUGGAAUUCCCAGUGUAGAGGUGAAAUUCGUAGAUAUUGGGAAGAACACCGGGUGGCGAAGGCGGCUUCUUCUUGGACCGAUACUGACGCUGAGGCGCGAAAGCGUGGGGAGCAAACA
Molecule: ribosomal RNA, 406 nt
Filed under: uncultured Rhodospirillales bacterium
Lineage: Bacteria; Pseudomonadati; Pseudomonadota; Alphaproteobacteria; Rhodospirillales
Description: bacterial SSU rRNA
Rfam family: Bacterial small subunit ribosomal RNA
Source: RNAcentral